Non-coding RNA from Podarcis lilfordi (Lilford's wall lizard), 87 nucleotides. Lineage: Eukaryota; Metazoa; Chordata; Lepidosauria; Squamata; Lacertidae. The record is from the annotation of a GenBank genome assembly.
GAAUAGCUCAACCCACGAGACAACUCACUUGGUUAGAGCAUGGUGCUGAUAACACCAAGGUUGCAGGUUCAAUCCCUGUAUGGGACG